AGAGGGAUAGCUGGAUCAAAUGGUGGUUCUAUUCCCAAUUUUCCAAGAAAUAUCCAUACUGCUUUUCAUAUUGGCUACACCAAUUUGCAGUCCCAUCAGCAAU
Molecule: microRNA precursor, 103 nt
Filed under: Marmota monax (woodchuck)
Lineage: Eukaryota; Metazoa; Chordata; Mammalia; Rodentia; Sciuridae
Source: RNAcentral